This is a long non-coding RNA of Pelmatolapia mariae (spotted tilapia), 268 nucleotides long. RefSeq lists it as uncharacterized. The record is from RefSeq and is a predicted model, not a curated record. The transcript has 3 exons. NCBI's taxonomy places the organism in Eukaryota, Metazoa, Chordata, Actinopteri, Cichliformes, Cichlidae.
CAGAAGAAAAGACGCUGUUUCAGAGCUUUUAAAGUGUGCCUGGGAGUGCUGUAUCUUCUGAUUCUCGCUGGAAUUUCGACACGCUAUAUUUCAGUCACUUUGGAAAAAGAGCAGCUGAAGAACAAAUACAACAAACUGAGCAACAAUUGCAGCCAACUGCAAGCCCAACUUUUAGUGAAAUGUCCUGUCGAUUGGGCCAAAUUUGGAAUGAGCUGUUACUUUAAAUCCACCGAGAGGAAAAUUUGGUCUAAGAGCAAGGAAGACUGUG